RNAcentral lists this ribosomal RNA (1531 nucleotides) under Klebsiella pneumoniae. RNAcentral describes it as "bacterial SSU rRNA". It matches the Rfam family "Bacterial small subunit ribosomal RNA". Lineage: Bacteria; Pseudomonadati; Pseudomonadota; Gammaproteobacteria; Enterobacterales; Enterobacteriaceae. The record is from RNAcentral.
UUGAAGAGUUUGAUCAUGGCUCAGAUUGAACGCUGGCGGCAGGCCUAACACAUGCAAGUCGAGCGGUAGCACAGAGAGCUUGCUCUCGGGUGACGAGCGGCGGACGGGUGAGUAAUGUCUGGGAAACUGCCUGAUGGAGGGGGAUAACUACUGGAAACGGUAGCUAAUACCGCAUAAUGUCGCAAGACCAAAGUGGGGGACCUUCGGGCCUCAUGCCAUCAGAUGUGCCCAGAUGGGAUUAGCUAGUAGGUGGGGUAACGGCUCACCUAGGCGACGAUCCCUAGCUGGUCUGAGAGGAUGACCAGCCACACUGGAACUGAGACACGGUCCAGACUCCUACGGGAGGCAGCAGUGGGGAAUAUUGCACAAUGGGCGCAAGCCUGAUGCAGCCAUGCCGCGUGUGUGAAGAAGGCCUUCGGGUUGUAAAGCACUUUCAGCGGGGAGGAAGGCGUUAAGGUUAAUAACCUUGGCGAUUGACGUUACCCGCAGAAGAAGCACCGGCUAACUCCGUGCCAGCAGCCGCGGUAAUACGGAGGGUGCAAGCGUUAAUCGGAAUUACUGGGCGUAAAGCGCACGCAGGCGGUCUGUCAAGUCGGAUGUGAAAUCCCCGGGCUCAACCUGGGAACUGCAUUCGAAACUGGCAGGCUAGAGUCUUGUAGAGGGGGGUAGAAUUCCAGGUGUAGCGGUGAAAUGCGUAGAGAUCUGGAGGAAUACCGGUGGCGAAGGCGGCCCCCUGGACAAAGACUGACGCUCAGGUGCGAAAGCGUGGGGGAAACAGGAUUAGAUACCACGGUAGUCCACGCCGUAAACGAUGUCGAUUUGGAGGUUGUGCCCUUGAGGCGUGGCUUCCGGAGCUAACGCGUUAAAUCGACCGCCUGGGGAGUACGGCCGCAAGGUUAAAACUCAAAUGAAUUGACGGGGGCCCGCACAAGCGGUGGAGCAUGUGGUUUAAUUCGAUGCAACGCGAAGAACCUUACCUGGUCUUGACAUCCACAGAACUUUCCAGAGAUGGAUUGGUGCCUUCGGGAACUGUGAGACAGGUGCUGCAUGGCUGUCGUCAGCUCGUGUUGUGAAAUGUUGGGUUAAGUCCCGCAACGAGCGCAACCCUUAUCCUUUGUUGCCAGCGGUUAGGCCGGGAACUCAAAGGAGACUGCCAGUGAUAAACUGGAGGAAGGUGGGGAUGACGUCAAGUCAUCAUGGCCUUACGACCGGGGCUACACGUGCUACAAUGGCAUAUACAAAGAGAAGCGACCUCGCGAGAGCAAGCGGACCUCAUAAAGUAUGUCGUAGUCCGGAUUGGAGUCUGCAACUCGACUCCAUGAAGUCGGAAUCGCUAGUAAUCGUAGAUCAGAAUGCUACGGUGAAUACGUUCCCGGGCCUUGUACACACCGCCCGUCACACCAUGGGAGUGGGUUGCAAAAGAAGUAGGUAGCUUAACCUUCGGGAGGGCGCUUACCACUUUGUGAUUCAUGACUGGGGUGAAGUCGUAACAAGGUAACCGUAGGGGAACCUGCGGUUGGAUCACCUCCUU